CAAGGGAACAAUCAGGGAAGAAGGAACGCAAGACGGUGGAAGCAUGCCAACCUAUUAAACCGCAAGUCAGAGAUCAAACCAUGUACUUGAAUCUCUCAAGUUCCCGGCUUAACCCUCUUCCAAGUAGCAUUGCGAAGCUGAUCUCAGACAAACGCAGCCCAUGGAAGAAUGCUAAGUGCUCGUGAUUGGUUAAAACUCAAAUAAAAAGUUGAAGUGGAGACGAUAUAUACCUGUUCCAAAAUACAGAUCCUCAUUUGAAAAUGGAAAAAGAAAAGAAAUGGAGGCAUUGUGUGAUAUUUGCCUAAAUAUAACUAAAGAGAUCCAUUUAUUUUUAGUGUUUGAUUAAAAACCCUCAAAGGAAAAGAGAAAUUUUGAUCUUUGAGAAGAGCUGUUUCAUCACAGGGUGAAGUUGUUUCCUGAGCCCUUUGAUCUGAAAUGACCUUGCGACCUGGAACCAGCAGACAGCCUGAGGGAGGCAGUGCAUGUUCUGAGCCAGGGCCUCAGGAGGCCUGCAGCUGCCAUUCUGCUUCUGUUGGAACAUGACCUCCUUGAGAACACUCCCAGGCCUGACUGCAGGGUGGGGAGACCACACAGAGCAGAGCCGAGCCACCGGGAUGAGGCCCCUAGAUCACCCAGCUCCCAGCUGACCACAGAUCAUGAGUGAUCCCGUUUCUCCCUAGGUCAAGGGUGAUGUUUUGCUCAGAGAAAACUGAAGUUUGGAUUGUUCCAGUCCUGCAUCACAUCCUGUUUCAGGCUGCCCUAAAACAAAACCAGAAACAACCAUCACCACAAAACACCAUACCUUCAAUAGUCUUCUCAGUGUUCAGAAUAAAGGCUCUGGUUUUCCCUUGGGCUCAAUUUU
Long non-coding RNA from Homo sapiens (human), 862 nucleotides. RefSeq lists it as uncharacterized. The transcript has 5 exons. The record is from RefSeq and is a predicted model, not a curated record. NCBI's taxonomy places the organism in Eukaryota, Metazoa, Chordata, Mammalia, Primates, Hominidae.